GACGAGGGAUCCUAGCGUUGUUCGGAAUUACUGGGCGUAAAGCGCAUGUAGGCGGAUAUUUAAGUCAGGGGUGAAAUCCCGCAGCUCAACUGCGGAACUGCCUUUGAUACUGGGUAUCUUGAGUAUGGAAGAGGUGAGUGGAAUUCCGAGUGUAGAGGUGAAAUUCGUAGAUAUUCGGAGGAACACCAGUGGCGAAGGCGGCUCACUGGUCCAUUACUGACGCUGAGGUGCGAAAGCGUGGGGAGCAAACAGG
This 253-nucleotide ribosomal RNA is filed under the name uncultured bacterium. RNAcentral's name for it is "partial 16S ribosomal RNA". It matches the Rfam family "Bacterial small subunit ribosomal RNA", at positions 524 to 776 of the family's 1533-position model. The record is from RNAcentral.